UUAAUAAUAAAAUCUGCUCAAUGAUAAUUAAAUAGCCGCAAUUCGUGCUAAGGUAGCAUAAUCAUUUGUUUCUUAAAUAGAAACUAGAACAAAAGAUUUAACAUUUUAAUCUUUAUAUAAAUUUUAAUAAUAUAAAUUUUCCUAAAUGUAAAAAGACACUUAUUUUUUAGAAAGACGACAAGACCCUAUUGAACUUAACUUAAGUUUUACUGGGGUAGUAAAUCAAUUAUAAGUUUAAUAAAAAUUAAUAAACAAAAAUCUAUAAAAAUAAUUUUACUCAGUUACCAUAGGGAUAACAGCGUAAUUAUAUUUAUAAGACCUCAUUUAAAAUAUAGAUUACGACCUCGAUGUUGAAUUAAUUACCUAAUUAAAGCAAACUAUAUUAAAGGAAGUCUGUUCGACUUUUAAAAAAUUACAUGAUUUGAGUUCAGACCGGUAUAAGCCAGGUCGGUUUCCAUCUUCUAUAAAAUUCUUUAUAGUACGAAAGGGCCUAAAGAUAUAAUUAAAUUAAUUAAUUGGCAGAUUAAUGCAUUAGAAUUAGAAUCUAAUAAAACUUA
Molecule: ribosomal RNA, 557 nt
Rfam family: Bacterial large subunit ribosomal RNA (bases 168-464)